RNAcentral lists this long non-coding RNA (3799 nucleotides) under Macaca mulatta (Rhesus monkey). RNAcentral's name for it is "lncRNA (ENSMMUG00000064176.1)". The record is from RNAcentral. Lineage: Eukaryota; Metazoa; Chordata; Mammalia; Primates; Cercopithecidae.
AUGACAUGCAGAGGUACUUACUCUCAUGAAGGUGUUGCCUCCAUGGCAGCUGACACAAUCCCUUUCCAGGGUCUAGGCCUUCUGGUGCAAAUUCCCACACCCAAACCAAUAGAGGCCAGAGAGACCCAGAGACAGCUUUGGAAUCUUCAGACAAUUGAUCAGAUUGGCUCCUGCGAAGAACCGUUUGUCAUCCUUGGUCCAGGAGGUCAACUCAAAUCCAAGAAGUCAAUUUUCUUAAUAACCACAAAUGUAUGUGACAUUAUGGCUCUGGCCUAUUCUUCAGAAGCCAUUAAGGUGCCUUCCCUGGGGCAUCAAGUGUGAUUAGAGAUCUUGUAGAGCACAAGUUCUGGAGACUCAAAGCUGGAAGGGAAGAAAUUGCAUUGCAUAACUGCUGAGAUUUGAGAUUGGUGUGGAAAAACAGGGAACCGAGCUGGCUACCGGGAAGGACAUUUCCGACAGAGGAACCGUGAGUAGAAACUCGGAAGAGGAUAAGCGUGGUGCCUGUUCCUGGAAUAAGAAGCACUCUAGUUUGGCAUCUGCACUUAUUUACUUCGUUUAUAUAAACUAAGUACCUGUGAGGUUUAAGGCUUAGAAAGUAAGUUAGGCUAUAGUUUGGAGAGUAUUAAUAAGAUGAGGAGAGGAGUCUGGAGUUCAUUACUUGGGCAAUUAGAAACUGGAAGUUUAGGGAGCAACAUGACCAUAUCUCUGUCUUUGAAAGAUUUAUCUGGCAAAAGGACUUUGGCAGGAUGGGAGGUGGGAAUACAUGGAGGAAGCAAGACAUGGAGAGAUUAUAGAGGCAGUGGCAAUGGACUGGAAAAGAGGGAACAGAUGGGAGGUCCACCAAGGAUUUGAACCAUUAUGGUGGUAGUUGGAAUAAAAAUAAGAGGGAGAAAGUGAAAAGUGUAAGGGAGAUUCAAUCUAUAGAACUUGAUGAUCUCUUGGGUCUUUAGGGCUAAGGAUUUUGAGAUGAUACCUCUCACCUUCCCAUUCAUCCAAAUUACCUCUGGAUGAAUGAGAAAAUAGUGAUACCAUUAAAGAAACUGUAAAAUUUUGGCUGGGUACAGUGACUCACACCUGUAAUCUCAGCACUUUGGGAGACAGAGGUGGGAGGAUCACUUGAGUCCAGGUGUUUGAGACCAGCCUGGGCAACAUAGCAAAACCCCGUCUCUAUUACAACUUAAAAAAAAAAUUGGCCAGGUGGGGUGGUGCGUGCCUGUGGUCCCAGCUACUCAGGAGGUUGGGGUGGGAGGAUUGCUUGAGCCUGGGAGUUCAAGGCUGCAGUGACCUAUGAUUGUACUACUGUACUCCAGCCUGGGUGACAGAGUGAGACUCUGUCUCUUAAAAAAAAGAAAACAUCAAAUCAGGGAAAUACUUUUUUAGUUUGAGGUAAUAUCAUUACUUAGAAAAUGAUGGGUGGAAAUGUUUAGUUGCCAGACAAAAAUGUGAGUCUGGAGCCAAGAAGAUAUGUACCCAGAAUACAAUAACUGAAGCCACAGCAGGGGAGGAAAUCAUCUAAGGAGGAAGUGUUAGGAAAUAGAAAUGGAACAAUAAUGAAAGUUAGGGGCCAUCUACAUUUAGAGGUGAAUGGAGGAGAAAGAAUCUUCAGGGUAAUCAGAGAGAGACCAUAAAGGUGGGAAGAGAAUUAGGCACUGCUAUUUUCCGUCUUUUUUUUUUGAGACAGUCUCGCUGUUUCACCCAGGCUGGAGUGAAGUGUUGCAAUCUUGGCUCACCGCAACCUCCCCCACCUCGGGUUCAAGUGAUUAUCCUGCCUCAGGCUCCUGAGUAGCUGGGACUACAGGUGUGCGCCACCACACCCAACUAAUUUUGUAUUUUUAGUAGAGACAGGAUUUCGUUAUGUUGGCCAGGCUCGUCUCGAACUCCUGACCUCAGGUGAUCCACCCACCUUGACCUCUCAAAGUGCUGGGAUUACAGGUGUGAGACACCGUACCCGGCCGGCACUACUAUUUUCAAAAGUCAGACAGAACCUUUCCAGAUGAAGCAGGUAAGCAACGGUGUUAAACGGUCUAGCAAAACUGAGAAGAAUCGAGCAUGAGGAAAGGUUGUCAGAGAGAAAAGGCAGGUAAGUGGCUUCCAGUGACCAUGAAGGGAAACAGUUUCAGGAGAGCAGUAGGAACUGAUGCCAGAACACAAAGCUUCGUGGAGUAAGUGAGUACAGUUAUGUGCCGCUUAAGGAUGUUUUGGUCAAUGACUGCCUAUAUGACAGUGGUCCCUUAAAUUAUAAUGGAGCUGAAAAAUUCCUAUCCUCUAAUAAUGAAGCCAACAUAAUGUCACAGCACUAUGCAUUUCUCGUGUGUAUGUAGUGAUGCUAUGUAAACAAACCUACUAGCUGCCAGUCAUGUAAAAUUAUAGCACAUACAGUUGUGUAUACUACAUAAUACUUGAUAAUGAAUGACUGUGUUUCUGGCGUAUGUAUUUACUGUAGCAUACUUUUUGUCAUUAUUUGAGAGUGUACUCCUUCUACUUAUGUGGAACAAAGAGUUUUUGCAGGACAGCCUCAGGCAGGUUCUUUAGGUGGUAUUUGAGAAGAAGGCAUUGUUAUCAUAGGAGAUGACAGCUCUGUGCAUGUUACUGCCCCUGAAGACCUUCCAGUGGGACAAGAUGUGGAGGUGGAAGCCAGUGAUAUUGAUGAUCCUGCCCCUGUGUAGGCCCAGGCUAAUGUGUACGUGUGUGUCUUAAUUUUUAACAAAAAAGUUUAAAAAGUAAAAAAAGAAAAGAAAAAAAUUAAAAAAUAGAAAACAGCUUAUAGAAUAAGGACAUAAAGAAAAAAAUUUGUUUGUACAGCUGUACAGUGUGUUUGUGUUUUAAGUUAAGUGUUAUUACAAAACAGAAAGUUAAAAAAAUUAAGUGUAUAAAGUAAAAAUGUCAUAGUAAGCAAAGGUUAACUUAUUAUUGAAGAUGGAAAGUAUUUCUUUAUAAAUUGAGUGUAGCUUAAGUGUGCAGUGUUUAUAAAGUCUACAGUGGUGUACAGUCAUGUUCUAGGCCUUCAUGUUCACUCACCACUCACACAUUCACUGACUCACCCAGGGCAACUUCCCCUCCUGCAGUUCCGUUCCUGGUAUGUGCUCUAGACAGAUGUACCAUUAAAAAAAUACUUUUCUAUUGUAUUUUAAAUGUACCUUUGCUAUAUUUAGAUACAUAAUUACUUACCAUUGUGUUACAGUUGCCUACAGUAUUCAGUACAGUAACAUGCUUUACUGGUUUGUAGCCUGGGAUCAAUAGACUCUACCAUAUAGACUUGGUGUGCAGUGAGCCAUACUAUCUAUGUUUGUGUGGGUACAUGCUAUGAUUUUUGCAUAACGACAAAAUCGCCUAGCAAUGCAUUUCUCAGAAUGUAUCCCCAUCAUUCAGCCAUGCAAGAUUGCACUUCAGUUGUGAAAGCUAGAAGCAAAGACUCCUCUUUCAAGAAACUGGCAGUUUCUUGAAAGAAAGUAGAAAGAGCAGAUGGAAGAAGGAAACUGAAGGAAAGAAGAAAUAAGGACCACCAAACUGAUCUAAGUUAUUAUUAUUAAUUUUUAAUUGGAUGACUAUAGUUUAUUUUAAGACUGAGACAAUGGACCCAAAGGUGGGAGUAAAACUGAUGUAAUCAUUUUUUGGGGUAAUUUACGGGACAUACAUCCCUGGAGGCCAGGAGGAAUGGGAGAGGAUGUAAUCAAACACAAGACUGAGCUGCUUCUCCUUCAGAGAUGGACUAGUUUCAGCAACUGCCACUCUCUUCCCUCCCAAGAUGGUUUCCCAAGCCUAACGUAGAAAGAGAGGUCAAAGAAUACAAAGUGGUGCC